GAUGAACGCUGGCGGCGUGCCUAAUACAUGCAAGUCGAGCGAACAGACGAGGAGCUUGCUCCUCUGACGUUAGCGGCGGACGGGUGAGUAACACGUGGAUAACCCACCUAUAAGACUGGGAUAACUUCGGGAAACCGGAGCUAAUACCGGAUAAUAUAUUGAACCGCAUGGUUCAAUAGUGAAAGACGGUUUUGCUGUCACUUAUAGAUGGAUCCGCGCCGCAUUAGCUAGUUGGUAAGGUAACGGCUUACCAAGGCAACGAUGCGUAGCCGACCUGAGAGGGUGAUCGGCCACACUGGAACUGAGACACGGGCCAGACUCCUACGGGAGGCAGCAGUAGGGAAUCUUCCGCAAUGGGCGAAAGCCUGACGGAGCAACGCCGCGUGAGUGAUGAAGGUCUUCGGAUCGUAAAACUCUGUUAUUAGGGAAGAACAAAUGUGUAAGUAACGAUGCACGUCUUGACGGUACCUAAUCAGAAAGCCACGGCUAACUACGU
Molecule: ribosomal RNA, 496 nt
Filed under: uncultured bacterium
Lineage: Bacteria
Description: partial 16S ribosomal RNA
Rfam family: Bacterial small subunit ribosomal RNA
Source: RNAcentral